Molecule: ribosomal RNA, 119 nt
Organism: Apteryx haastii (Great spotted kiwi)
Lineage: Eukaryota; Metazoa; Chordata; Aves; Apterygiformes; Apterygidae
Source: Ensembl
CACUACAGCCAUACCACCUUGAGAAAACCCGAUCUUUCUGAUCUCAGAAGGCAAGGGGCUAUCUGAGAGCUUAUGGGUCAGGAUUAUUUGGCAGACCAACAUGGGUGACAUUGUAGUGG